RNAcentral lists this ribosomal RNA (1287 nucleotides) under uncultured fungus. RNAcentral describes it as "eukaryotic LSU rRNA". The stretch from base 667 to 1287 matches the Rfam family "Eukaryotic large subunit ribosomal RNA", at positions 1 to 649 of the family's 3401-position model. Lineage: Eukaryota; Fungi. The record is from RNAcentral.
CGUAACAAGGUAACCGUAGGUGAACCUGCGGUUGGAUCAUUACAAAAUGAUGGGUCUUGAAAGCGUGUAAGUCCAUCCAGUAAAUUGUGAUGUGGUGAAAACUUUCAAGACUUAAUUUUAACCCUUUGCGCACAAAAAUGUUUUUUGGGUUGGCUUCAUUAGAGGCGAGCCCAGCAUAUUAUGUCUGCGAGUCACGCAAGUGUUUAGCAGGCAUAAGUAAAAACACCUUUUUUUAAUUUGACUGAAUUUUUUUAAAAUAUUAAAAAAUAACAACUUUUGACAACGGAUCUCUUGGCUCUCGCAACGAUGAAGAACGCAGCGAAAUGCGAUACGUAAUGUGAAUUGCAGAAUCCCGUGAAUCAUCAAAUCUUUGAACGCACAUUGCACUCUAUUUCGGUAGAGUAUGCCUGUUUGAGAAUCUAUAGUAAUUUAUUCUGUAUUUUGGCUUUUUAAUAAAAACCUUUUUGCAGAGAUAUGAGUCUGACUCCUUGAGUCUUUCUUGAAAUCUAUAACUGAACUGCGCUAAGAGUGUUUGACUUUUUGCAAAGCAUCAGAAAAGUAUUUGAAUGGGAUUUAUCUCUUAUAAUGCUUAUUAAGAUGCAGUAAAAAUUAGCUCGACUGUGCUUUGCAGUCCAUAAACUUGAAGCCGUAAAAAAGCUUGAACCAUGGUCUCAAAUCAGGUAGGAAUACCCGCUGAACUUAAGCAUAUCAAUAAGCGGAGGAAAAGAAACUAACAAGGAUUCCCCUAGUAACGGCGAGUGAAGCGGGAACAGCUCAAAUUUGAAAUCUCACUUUGGUGCGAAUUGUAGUUUAGAGAAACGUUUUCGGCCUUGACAUUGGGUACAAGUCCAUUGGAACAUGGCAUCACAGAGGGUGAAAAUCCCGUCUAUGAUCCAGUGUUCAAGGUCAUAUGAUACGUUUUCCAAGAGUCGGUUUGUUUGGGAAUGCAGACCAAAGUGGGUGGUAGAUACCAUCUAAAGCUAAAUAUUGGCGAGAGACCGAUAGCGAACAAGUACCGUGAGGGAAAGAUGAAAAGAACUUUGAAAAGAGAGUUAAACAGUACGUGAAAUUGUCAAAAGGGAAACGCUUGAAACCAGUAUUGCCUGCUAGAUUUAGCUAUCAUUUAUGGUAGUGUCCUUUCUAGUUGGCAAGUCAACAUCAGUUUGGCUUGGUGUAAAAAGCUUGAGAAAGGUGGCCUUCGGGUGUUAUAGUCUCAAGUCAUGCAUCGAGCUGGACUGAGGUCUGCAGCUUUUGCUUAGGAUGUUGACGAAAUGGUUUUAAUCGACC